Molecule: ribosomal RNA, 520 nt
Filed under: Proteus mirabilis
Lineage: Bacteria; Pseudomonadati; Pseudomonadota; Gammaproteobacteria; Enterobacterales; Morganellaceae
Description: bacterial SSU rRNA
Rfam family: Bacterial small subunit ribosomal RNA
Source: RNAcentral
GUGCCUUCGGGAACGCUGAGACAGGUGCUGCAUGGCUGUCGUCAGCUCGUGUUGUGAAAUGUUGGGUUAAGUCCCGCAACGAGCGCAACCCUUAUCCUUUGUUGCCAGCACGUAAUGGUGGGAACUCAAAGGAGACUGCCGGUGAUAAACCGGAGGAAGGUGGGGAUGACGUCAAGUCAUCAUGGCCCUUACGAGUAGGGCUACACACGUGCUACAAUGGCAGAUACAAAGAGAAGCGACCUCGCGAGAGCAAGCGGAACUCAUAAAGUCUGUCGUAGUCCGGAUUGGAGUCUGCAACUCGACUCCAUGAAGUCGGAAUCGCUAGUAAUCGUAGAUCAGAAUGCUACGGUGAAUACGUUCCCGGGCCUUGUACACACCGCCCGUCACACCAUGGGAGUGGGUUGCAAAAGAAGUAGGUAGCUUAACCUUCGGGAGGGCGCUUACCACUUUGUGAUUCAUGACUGGGGUGAAGUCGUAACAAGGUAACCGUAGGGGAACCUGCGGUUGGAUCACCUCCUUA